AUAUUUACCCGGCAGAGGAGAUAUCACAGUCAUGAAGGUGGUUUAUCCAGGGGGAGGUUUAUCCAUUGUGCUGAACGUAUGUGCUGAACCCUACAUUUUCCCAAAUGUGGGAAACUCAACUGCCUAAUUUGUGGUAGUGAGGAACUGUGCUCACAUUCUCUCC
Sorex araneus (European shrew) is the source of this 163-nucleotide small nuclear RNA. RefSeq annotates it as U1 spliceosomal RNA. The record is from RefSeq and is a predicted model, not a curated record. Lineage: Eukaryota; Metazoa; Chordata; Mammalia; Eulipotyphla; Soricidae. The transcript has a single exon.